Molecule: long non-coding RNA, 527 nt
Filed under: Rosa chinensis
Lineage: Eukaryota; Viridiplantae; Streptophyta; Magnoliopsida; Rosales; Rosaceae
Description: sRNA RchiOBHm_Chr4g0392891
Source: RNAcentral
AUUUUUGACUUACUUGAUGUCAAGCGCAAUGGGGUUAUUGAGUUUGGAGAAUUUGUUCGAUCAUUAGAUAUCUAUCACCCCAAUGCACCUAUACGAAACAAUUGCAUCUGCGUUUAGACGGUAUGAUAUGAGACAAACAGGGUUCAUUGAAUGAGAGAAGGUUUGUUUCACAUUGAAACAUCCUUGAUCCCACAGUCUACAAGGAUAUGAUAUUGAGGGCGUUCUAAAAUUUGUGCAUUGGCUUGAUGGAUAACCUGCAUCGUUGGGAAGCCAGCAUUGAACCAACAACAUCAUCCGUAGAGACCAUCAACUAGGAGAAAAACGAGCGAGGUGUCAUGACACUUUUGUGCAGACAGAAUUGGAGGAAGCAACUUUUUCGACAACUUCCAUAACUCCCCACCACUAGGCUAACAGCUUUUCAGCAUACACAUGCUAAUAGACAUCAUCACCUAUUUUUGGCAAGCUGAUCAAGCAGUGAUUGUAACUAAGUUAGUCUACAACUAGAACAACCUAUUUUUUGAACACUG